UUAAGCGACUAAGCGUACACGGUGGAUGCCCUGGCAGUCAGAGGCGAUGAAGGACGUGCUAAUCUGCGAUAAGCGUCGGUAAGGUGAUAUGAACCGUUAUAACCGGCGAUUUCCGAAUGGGGAAACCCAGUGCAAUUCGUUGCACUAUCAUUACCUGAAUACAUAGGGUAAUGAAGCGAACCGGGAGAACUGAAACAUCUAAGUACCCCGAGGAAAAGAAAUCAACCGAGAUUCCCCCAGUAGCGGCGAGCGAACGGGGAGCAGCCCAGAGCCUGAAUCAGUGUGUGUGUUAGUGGAAGCGUCUGGAAAGGCGCGCGAUACAGGGUGACAGCCCCGUACACAAAAAUGCACAUACUGUGAGCUCGAUGAGUAGGGCGGGACACGUGGUAUCCUGUCUGAAUAUGGGGGGACCAUCCUCCAAGGCUAAAUACUCCUGACUGACCGAUAGUGAACCAGUACCGUGAGGGAAAGGCGAAAAGAACCCCGGCGAGGGGAGUGAAAAAGAACCUGAAACCGUGUACGUACAAGCAGUGGGAGCCUCUUAAUGGGGUGACUGCGUACCUUUUGUAUAAUGGGUCAGCGACUUAUAUUCUGUAGCAAGGUUAACCGAAUAGGGGAGCCGAAGGGAAACCGAGUCUUAACUGGGCGUUAAGUUGCAGGGUAUAGACCCGAAACCCGGUGAUCUAGCCAUGGGCAGGUUGAAGGUUGGGUAACACUAACUGGAGGACCGAACCGACUAAUGUUGAAAAAUUAGCGGAUGACUUGUGGCUGGGGGUGAAAGGCCAAUCAAACCGGGAGAUAGCUGGUUCUCCCCGAAAGCUAUUUAGGUAGCGCCUCGUGAAUUCAUCUCCGGGGGUAGAGCACUGUUUCGGCAAGGGGGUCAUCCCGACUUACCAACCCGAUGCAAACUGCGAAUACCGGAGAAUGUUAUCACGGGAGACACACGGCGGGUGCUAACGUCCGUCGUGAAGAGGGAAACAACCCAGACCGCCAGCUAAGGUCCCAAAGUCAUGGUUAAGUGGGAAACGAUGUGGGAAGGCCCAGACAGCCAGGAUGUUGGCUUAGAAGCAGCCAUCAUUUAAAGAAAGCGUAAUAGCUCACUGGUCGAGUCGGCCUGCGCGGAAGAUGUAACGGGGCUAAACCAUGCACCGAAGCUGCGGCAGCGACACUAUGUGUUGUUGGGUAGGGGAGCGUUCUGUAAGCCUGUGAAGGUGUGCUGUGAGGCAUGCUGGAGGUAUCAGAAGUGCGAAUGCUGACAUAAGUAACGAUAAAGCGGGUGAAAAGCCCGCUCGCCGGAAGACCAAGGGUUCCUGUCCAACGUUAAUCGGGGCAGGGUGAGUCGACCCCUAAGGCGAGGCCGAAAGGCGUAGUCGAUGGGAAACAGGUUAAUAUUCCUGUACUUGGUGUUACUGCGAAGGGGGGACGGAGAAGGCUAUGUUGGCCGGGCGACGGUUGUCCCGGUUUAAGCGUGUAGGCUGGUUUUCCAGGCAAAUCCGGAAAAUCAAGGCUGAGGCGUGAUGACGAGGCACUACGGUGCUGAAGCAACAAAUGCCCUGCUUCCAGGAAAAGCCUCUAAGCAUCAGGUAACAUCAAAUCGUACCCCAAACCGACACAGGUGGUCAGGUAGAGAAUACCAAGGCGCUUGAGAGAACUCGGGUGAAGGAACUAGGCAAAAUGGUGCCGUAACUUCGGGAGAAGGCACGCUGAUAUGUAGGUGAAGUCCCUUGCGGAUGGAGCUGAAAUCAGUCGAAGAUACCAGCUGGCUGCAACUGUUUAUUAAAAACACAGCACUGUGCAAACACGAAAGUGGACGUAUACGGUGUGACGCCUGCCCGGUGCCGGAAGGUUAAUUGAUGGGGUCAGCGCAAGCGAAGCUCUUGAUCGAAGCCCCGGUAAACGGCGGCCGUAACUAUAACGGUCCUAAGGUAGCGAAAUUCCUUGUCGGGU
Molecule: ribosomal RNA, 1947 nt
Filed under: human gut metagenome
Description: bacterial LSU rRNA
Rfam family: Bacterial large subunit ribosomal RNA
Source: RNAcentral